RNAcentral lists this ribosomal RNA (469 nucleotides) under uncultured bacterium. RNAcentral's name for it is "partial 16S ribosomal RNA". It matches the Rfam family "Bacterial small subunit ribosomal RNA", at positions 28 to 507 of the family's 1533-position model. The record is from RNAcentral.
GAUGAACGCUGGCGGCGCGCCUAACACAUGCAAGUCGAACGGUUAAAGCACCUUUUAGGUGUGUAUAAAGUGGCGAACGGCUGAGUAACACGUGGGCAACCUGCCCUCCUCUUGGGGAUAGCCUCGGGAAACCGAGGAUAAUACCCGAUACUUCAAUGUGGCCGCAUGACGACAUUGAGAAAGCUUUUGCGGAGAAGGAUGGGCCCGCGGCCUGUUAGCUUGUUGGUGGGGUAGAGGCCUACCAAGGCAAUGAUGGGUAGCUGGGUUGAGAGACCGACCAGCCAGAUUGGGACUGAGACACGGCCCAGACUCCUACGGGAGGCAGCAGUGGGGAAUCUUGCACAAUGGGCGAAAGCCUGAUGCAGCGACGCCGCGUGCGGGACGAAGGCCUUCGGGUUGUAAACCGCUUUCAGCAGGGACGAGGCGAUAAGUGACGGUACCUGCAGAAGAAGCCCCGGCUAACUACGUG